RNAcentral lists this long non-coding RNA (212 nucleotides) under Elaeis guineensis (African oil palm). RNAcentral describes it as "long non-coding RNA (EGUI_LNC040140)". Lineage: Eukaryota; Viridiplantae; Streptophyta; Magnoliopsida; Arecales; Arecaceae. The record is from RNAcentral.
AGAAGGCCGGUGUUCAUCAUGGACUGCUUUGAAAGAGGGAGGAAAAAAAUUAUAGGAUAGAGAGGAGGUCGAAUCUUUUCUGGAUUCGCCUUCUUCUCCGAUGGGCUCGUGUGGAAGAAGACUCUCGCUGGGAGUCUUCAACAUUCUUUUUUUUUUCUUUUUUUGAUUCUUCUUUUCUUUUUUUUUUAUUUUAUUUUCUUUUUCAUGCCCUA